Molecule: ribosomal RNA, 518 nt
Filed under: uncultured bacterium
Lineage: Bacteria
Description: bacterial SSU rRNA
Rfam family: Bacterial small subunit ribosomal RNA
Source: RNAcentral
GAUUAUGGCUCAGAUUGAACGCUGGCGGCGUGCUUAACACAUGCAAGUCGCGCGUGAAAGGACUUCGGUCCGAGUAAAGCGGCGCACGGGUGAGUAACGCGUGGAUGAUCUACCCAUGAGUUAGGAAUAACGGCUGGAAACGGUCGCUAAUACCAAAUACGCUCCGAUUUCAACUUCGGGGGAAAGGUGGCCUCUGCUUGCAAGCUACUGCUCAUGGAUGAGUCCGCGUCCCAUUAGCUAGUUGGUGGGGUAACGGCCCACCAAGGCGACGAUGGGUAGCCGGUCUGAGAGGAUGACCGGCCACACUGGGACUGGAACACGGCCCAGACUCCUACGGGAGGCAGCAGUGGGGAAUAUUGCGCAAUGGGCGAAAGCCUGACGCAGCGACGCCGCGUGAGGGAUGAAGGUCCUCGGAUCGUAAACCUCUGUCAGGAGGGAAGAACCGCCACGGUGCUAAUCAGCCGUGGUCUGACGGUACCUCCAAAGGAAGCACCGGCUAACUCCGUGCCAGCCGCAGC